This 483-nucleotide ribosomal RNA is filed under the name uncultured bacterium. RNAcentral's name for it is "partial 16S ribosomal RNA". It matches the Rfam family "Bacterial small subunit ribosomal RNA", at positions 28 to 523 of the family's 1533-position model. The record is from RNAcentral.
GACGAACGCUGGCGGCGUGCUUAACACAUGCAAGUCGAACGAUGAAGCUGGAGCUUGCUCCGGUGGAUUAGUGGCGAACGGGUGAGUAACACGUGAGUAAUCUGCCCUUGACUCUGGGAUAACUGCGGGAAACUGUAGCUAAUACCGGAUACGAGAUUUGGAGGCAUCUCCGGAUCUGGAAAGAAUUUCGGUCAAGGAUGAGCUCGCGGCCUAUCAGCUUGUUGGUGAGGUAAUGGCUCACCAAGGAGACGACGGGUAGCCGGCCUGAGAGGGUGACCGGCCACACUGGGACUGAGACACGGCCCAGACUCCUACGGGAGGCAGCAGUGGGGAAUAUUGCACAAUGGGCGAAAGCCUGAUGCAGCAACGCCGCGUGAGGGAUGAAGGCCUUCGGGUUGUAAACCUCUUUUAGUAGGGAAGAAGCGAAAGUGACGGUACCUACAGAAAAAGCACCGGCUAACUACGUGCCAGCAGCCGCCGUAA